Molecule: ribosomal RNA, 414 nt
Filed under: uncultured archaeon
Lineage: Archaea
Description: bacterial SSU rRNA
Rfam family: Bacterial small subunit ribosomal RNA
Source: RNAcentral
CAAUGCCGCGUGAGUGAAGAAGGCCUUUGGGUUGUAAAGCUCUUUUGUAGGGGAAGAUAAUGACUGUACCCUAAGAAUAAGGUCCGGCUAACUUCGUGCCAGCAGCCGCGGUAAUACGAAGGGACCUAACGUAGUUCGGAAUUACUGGGCGUAAAGCGCGCGUAGGCCGUUGAGUUAGUUAAUUGUGAAAUCCCAAAGCUUAACUUUGGAACUGCCAUUAAAACUGCUCGACUAGAGUUUGAUAGAGGAAAGCGGAAUACAUAGUGUAGAGGUGAAAUUCGUAGAUAUUAUGUAGAACACCAGUUGCGAAGGCGGCUUUCUGGGUCAACACUGACGCUGAGGCGCGAAACGUAUGGGUAGCAAAGAGGAUUAGAUACCCUCGUAGUCCAUACCAUAAACGAUGAUUGCUAGAUG